RNAcentral lists this ribosomal RNA (910 nucleotides) under uncultured bacterium. RNAcentral describes it as "bacterial SSU rRNA". It matches the Rfam family "Bacterial small subunit ribosomal RNA", at positions 484 to 1397 of the family's 1533-position model. The record is from RNAcentral.
GAAUAAGGAUCGGCUAACUCCGUGCCAGCAGCCGCGGUAAUACGGAGGAUGCAAGCGUUAUCCGGGAUUUAUUGGGUUUAAAGGGUGCGCAGGUGGUUUAAUAAGUCAGUGGUGAAAGUCUGGCGCUCAACGUUAGGAUUGCCAUUGAUACUGUUAGACUUGAAUAUGGAUGAGGUAGGCGGAAUGUGUAGUGUAGCGGUGAAAUGCUUAGAUAUUACACAGAACACCGAUUGCGAAGGCAGCUUACUAAUCCAUCAUUGACGCUGAGGCACGAAAGCGUGGGGAUCAAACAGGAUUAGAUACCCUGGUAGUCCACGCUGUAAACGAUGAUAACUUGUUGUUGGGCACAUAGUGCUCAGUGGCUAAGCGAAAGCGAUAAGUUAUCCACCUGGGGAGUACGAUCGCAAGGUUGAAACUCAAAGGAAUUGACGGGGGCCCGCACAAGCGGAGGAGCAUGUGGUUUAAUUCGAUGAUACGCGAGGAACCUUACCCGGGCUCGAACGUAUAUUGAAUAACGUGGAAACAUGUUAGUCGCAAGACAAUAUACGAGGUGCUGCAUGGUUGUCGUCAGCUCGUGCCGUGAGGUGUCGGGUUAAGUCCCAUAACGAGCGCAACCCUCAUCAUCAGUUGCCAGCACGUAAUGGUGGGGACUCUGGUGAAACUGCCGGUGUAAACCGAGAGGAAGGUGGGGAUGACGUCAAAUCAGCACGGCCCUUAUGUCCAGGGCUACACACGUGUUACAAUGGCCGGUACAGAGGGCAGCUACCUGGAGACAGGAUGCGAAUCUCGAAAGCCGGUCUCAGUUCGGAUCGGAGUCUGCAACUCGACUCCGUGAAGCUGGAUUCGCUAGUAAUCGCGCAUCAGCCAUGGCGCGGUGAAUACGUUCCCGGGCCUUGUACACACCGCCCGU